Penaeus monodon (black tiger shrimp) is the source of this 551-nucleotide long non-coding RNA. RefSeq lists it as uncharacterized. The transcript is spliced from 2 exons. The record is from RefSeq and is a predicted model, not a curated record. Lineage: Eukaryota; Metazoa; Arthropoda; Malacostraca; Decapoda; Penaeidae.
GCAUUACCAGAGGCUGAAUGAAGAGAGGUUCAAGGAGGAGACCGAUUACCUGGAUAGUUCAUUCAUCCGGAUUACCUAAACCUCGUCCAACUGCACGAAAAACCUCCGGCGCAGGAUCAAGAGAACGAAACAGAAUCUCUGUGGCUUCAGGGUCGAGAAAUGCAAUCUUCACCCGUUGCAGAAGAUAUUAAAGAAGAUGAUUAUCUCUCGAUGAAGUCUUCCUAAUCUUUGGUUCUCCUUUCACCAAAGAUUAGAAGGGUCAACGGUCCUAAUAACUGCAUUUUGAGUCAUUUGAAUUUCUCAAAUUCAACGCAACAGUCUUUAUCCAAUAUCAGAGAUAAUAAAUAAAUAACUGAAGAAUUAAACCUGAAGUGAUCUUUUGUCAAUCACUGUUCGAUAUAUUUUUUAAUAUGUGUGGUAAAAGAAAUAAAUUAAAAUAGAAAAACGCGGCCUACAAUUCCCUUGUGAUGACACUGAAUAAUAUUACACGGUUUAUAAAAUACCUUGAGCGAUUUAUCAUGUUGCAUAAAAAAAACACUGACAAGUCUAUA